Molecule: ribosomal RNA, 427 nt
Filed under: uncultured bacterium
Lineage: Bacteria
Description: bacterial SSU rRNA
Rfam family: Bacterial small subunit ribosomal RNA
Source: RNAcentral
UGGGGAAUUUUGGACAAUGGGGGAAACCCUGAUCCAGCAAUGCCGCGUGAGUGAAGAAGGCCUUCGGGUUGUAAAGCUCUUUUGUCAGGGAAGAAACACCGGCUCUAACACAGUCCGGGAAUGACGGUACCUGAAGAAUAAGCACCGGCUAACUACGUGCCAGCAGCCGCGGUAAUACGUAGGUGGCGAGCGUUGUCCGGAAUUAUUGGGCGUAAAGCGCGCGCAGGUGGGAUCUUAAGUCUGUUCUCAAAGUUCGGAGCUUAACUCCGUGAUGGGAUGGAAACUGGGAUUCUUGAGUACCGGAGAGGGUGGUGGAAUUCCCGGUGUAGAGGUGAAAUUCGUAGAUAUCGGGAGGAACACCAGCGGCGAAGGCGACCACCUGGACGGAUACUGACGCUGAGACGCGAAAGCGUGGGGAGCAAACAGG